RNAcentral lists this ribosomal RNA (450 nucleotides) under uncultured bacterium. Its description in RNAcentral is "bacterial SSU rRNA". It matches the Rfam family "Bacterial small subunit ribosomal RNA", at positions 354 to 796 of the family's 1533-position model. The record is from RNAcentral.
GUGGGGAAUUUUGGACAAUGGGCGCAAGCCUGAUCCAGCAAUGCCGCGUGUGUGAAGAAGGCCUUCGGGUUGUAAAGCACUUUUGUCCGGAAAGAAAUCUCCUGGGUUAAUACCUCGGGGGGAUGACGGUACCGGAAGAAUAAGCACCGGCUAACUACGUGCCAGCAGCCGCGGUAAUACGUAGGGUGCGAGCGUUAAUCGGAAUUACUGGGCGUAAAGCGUGCGCAGGCGGCUAUGCAAGACAGAUGUGAAAUCACCGGGCUCAACCUGGGAACUGCAUUUGUGACUGAAUGGCUAGAGUGCGUCAGAGGGAGGUGGAAUUCCGCGUGUAGCAGUGAAAUGCGUAGAGAUGCGGAGGAACACCGAUGGCGAAGGCAGCCUCCUGGGAUGACACUGACGCUCAUGCACGAAAGCGUGGGGAGCAAACAGGAUUAGAUACCCGGGUAGUCC